RNAcentral lists this ribosomal RNA (127 nucleotides) under Pyxine sorediata. Its description in RNAcentral is "partial 28S ribosomal RNA". It matches the Rfam family "Eukaryotic large subunit ribosomal RNA", at positions 17 to 144 of the family's 3401-position model. Lineage: Eukaryota; Fungi; Ascomycota; Lecanoromycetes; Caliciales; Caliciaceae. The record is from RNAcentral.
AGGGAUACCCGCUGAACUUAAGCAUAUCAAUAAGCGGAGGAAAAGAAACCAACAGGGAUUGCCUCAGUAACGGCGAGUGAAGCGGCAACAGCUCAAAUUUGAAAUCUGGCCCUCCCGGGUCCGAGUG